RNAcentral lists this ribosomal RNA (501 nucleotides) under uncultured bacterium. Its description in RNAcentral is "bacterial SSU rRNA". It matches the Rfam family "Bacterial small subunit ribosomal RNA", at positions 28 to 512 of the family's 1533-position model. The record is from RNAcentral.
GAUGAACGCUGGCGGCGUGCCUCAAACAUGCAAGUCGAGCGAGGCUAUGAAUUACCGCAAGGUAAGGCAUAGCCUAGCGGCGAACGGGUGAGUAACACGUGGGUAACCUACCUGGAAGACAGGGAUAACGAUUCGAAAGGGUCGCUAAUACCUGAUAAUAUCCAUCUGCCGGAUGGCGGAGGGAAGAAAGGGGAAACCCGCUUUCAGAUGGGCCCGCGUCCCAUCAGCUAGUUGGUAAGGUAAAGGCUUACCAAGGCGACGACGGGUAGCCGGUCUGAGAGGAUGUACGGCCACACUGGGACUGAGAUACGGCCCAGACUCCUACGGGAGGCAGCAGUUGGGAAUCUUAGGCAAUGGACGAAAGUCUGACCUAGCGACGCCGCGUGAGGGAAAAGGCCUUCGGGUUGUAAAGUUCUUUUCUAUACGAGCAGUGCUAUAUAUAUGGAUAGUAUAUAUAGAGGAUAGUAGUAUAGGAAUAAGCAACGGCUAACUCGUGCCAGC